This 264-nucleotide ribosomal RNA is filed under the name uncultured bacterium. RNAcentral's name for it is "partial 16S ribosomal RNA". It matches the Rfam family "Bacterial small subunit ribosomal RNA", at positions 92 to 353 of the family's 1533-position model. The record is from RNAcentral.
UUAGUGGCGGACGGGUGAGUAACGCGUGGGUAACCUGCCUCACACUGGGGGAUAACAGUUAGAAAUAGCUGCUAAUACCGCAUAAGCGCACAGUUCCGCAUGGAACAGCGUGAAAAACUCCGGUGGUGUGAGAUGGACCCGCGUCUGAUUAGCCAGUUGGCGGGGUAACGGCCCACCAAAGCGACGAUCAGUAGCCGGCCUGAGAGGGUGAACCGGCCACAUUGGGACUGAGACACGGCCCAAACUCCUACGGGAGGCAGCAUG